Glycine soja is the source of this 1594-nucleotide RNA transcript. It is a transcript of the gene named guanylate kinase 3, chloroplastic-like, with no coding region annotated. The transcript has 4 exons. NCBI's taxonomy places the organism in Eukaryota, Viridiplantae, Streptophyta, Magnoliopsida, Fabales, Fabaceae. The record is from RefSeq and is a predicted model, not a curated record.
CAAGUUGUAGAAAGUAUAGUCUUAAUUAUAUUUUUUUUACUAAACCUGUUCUCAUUUCAUCAAUCUAUCUCAAUUCUCAUGUGGACGAGCAGUAGUAUUUACAGCGAGUGUUCCAUGCUCCGCAGGCUCCUCUGCACUUCUCUUCCCCGUCUUCCACUAAAACCACAAUCUUCCUCCUUAACCAUUCUCAACUCCUCACUCACCCAAAAUCAAAAACAAAAACAGAAACCCUUAUCUUCCCACACCAUCAAAUCCUUCUCCACUUCCAAAAUGGGGGACGCGCCAAGACCCUUAUCCGUUCCAAUCCCCACUUUGGAAAAAGCAGAACGCUCCGACCUUCUCCGCGCCCUAGAAGCUUCCAUGGGUUCCCCUUUCAGCUCGGAGCCUCUCUCCCCAAACCCUAACUCUCUCAUCAUCGUCAUCAGCGGUCCCAGCGGCGUCGGCAAGGACGCCCUCAUCUCGCGCCUCCGCGACAACUCCCGCCUCGCCCUCCACUUCGUCGUCACCGUCACCACCCGCCCCCGCCGCCCCGCCGAGGUCGACGGGAAAGACUACAUCUUCGUAUCCAAGGAAGAGUUUCUCGGGAUGGUGGAGCGGGAGGAGCUGCUGGAGUAUGCACUGGUCUACGGUGACUACAAGGGGGUCCCGAAGCAGCAGAUUCGGGAGUGUCUCGCGAAGGGCUGCGACGUCGUUCUGAGGGUGGAUAUUCAGGGGGCUGCCACGCUGAAGAAGGUGCUCGGGAAGUCGGCGGUGUUUGUGUUUGUGGCGGCGGAGAGCGAGAUGGCGUUGGUAGAGAGGCUCGUGGACCGGAAGACGGAGACCGUGGAGUCGUUGUUGGUGAGGAUUGGUACUGCCAGGGAGGAGAUGAAGCAUGUUAAGAAUUUUGAUUAUGUUGUGGUCAAUGCUAAAGGGAAGCUUGAUAAUGCGGUCAAGUUGAUGGAGUCUAUUAUUGAUGCUGAGAAAGCUAGGGUUUCUCAGAGGACUCCUCUUUUGUAACAGACAUGCACAUGGAUUGGUGUUUCUGAGGAAAUGGCAGCUGCCCCCCCAUUGACAAUGAAUUGAAUCAAAGGAUAUAUUCAAACCAAUGUUUAUUAUGUUCUAAGUUCUCCGCAAAACUCAAAAUAUCUCAACUCUUUGCAAUGCUUCAUUGAGAUGUGCCCAAAGGUAUUUGAUAGUGAAAUUUGGAAAACAAAAAGGUAUUAGGUUUUAUGAUGGAUGAUAAACUGAGUUGGUGAUUUUUACUUGUGAGCUUUGCUUGCCUCUGACGAGCUUGAUGCUCAUUUCCUACAACUGGUGUCAUGUCAUCAUGGGAAGACAUGUUGGGGGUUAUGCUUGUGGUGAUUCUUCCAAUACUGCCUUAAAUGAAGUACAAGUUCUUGGUGAAUAGAAAUUCUAAUUACAAUGUCUAAUAUCAUUUGUUUAUUUUAUUCGGUGAUCUGGUUUGAAAUAGUUAUCUAGGAAGCAUAUUGAAUUUAGUGGAUGAAACAGUGAACUGAAUUGACACAUAUAGCCUUGAUACCUGGUGUAAUCCUUCUUAUGAACUGAUUCAAAAAGCCAGUGGCUCAAACUUAAUCACAAUAGGUUUUUAUGCAUA